Molecule: long non-coding RNA, 1840 nt
Organism: Sorghum bicolor (sorghum)
Lineage: Eukaryota; Viridiplantae; Streptophyta; Magnoliopsida; Poales; Poaceae
Exons: 2
Source: RefSeq, a predicted model, not a curated record
AUCUAUCUACCCUAUUAAUUCAUCAACAUUUUCUAUGCUGAACUCAUCCAAAAAAACAACCCCGUUGAGAAGCCCUUAAUAUAUCCACCCACAAAACUAUACCAGAAAAACUCUCACCUUUAAAACAAACUGUGUAAAUUUUAUUCUAACCCUUUUCUCUUCUUCAUCCCUCGUGUCUCCCUCGCCCGCGCCGAGCCAGCACCCCUGCACCGCGCGACGCUCGGGUAGCCAGGGUUUCGAUUCCCACUCUGCGUCGAUGGCCAAGAAAAUGUCAUCGACUCCACCUUGCAUGUGGGCUUCUUCCCCGACGCCGCUGCGGCCUUCGCCGUGUGCCACCGGCGUCGACACGACACCCGCAGUUUCACCUUCACCCGCACCAGCGCCGUGAUCCUGCCCUCAUCUCCUCUCCAUCCUACGCGAUGCCCCUCCCUCACCGAGAUCUGCUACGAACGGCGACAGCCGUCCAUGGCCCCAGGAGGAGGCGUGCACAUUUUUGGCGAUGGCGGUCCAUCUCAGUACCGUCCGCACCUACGUGAUGGAAGAUGCUAAUAAUUCAUUGCCUACUUGGGAACGCUUUCUACUGUCUGUGUGAUGAUACACUGCUCUCUGUUAGGUAAAUACAAGCCUCUCAGAUCUGUACAGAAUUGGUGAAAAGAAGUUAUGGAGUGAGAUGAAUCUUUUUACAACAUAUAUUUUGUAAGAUUCAUAUACUUGUCACUGCCCAGGUAAGAUGAUUCCAAAUGUUUGAUUAUUGAUUGAUAUAUUCAGUUUCAUUUUUUUAUUUUCUCAUUGCGCUAAGGUUGGGAAAGGGUCCAGUGCUAGAACCAGCUGCAGGUCUUUACAGUCAGGUUGUUUGGAUAUAGAUUGCUGUUAUGCCCAUUUAGGUUACGGUUGUUGGGCUUCAUCUGUUUUUAGCAUGUUGAUGAUGCCAAUGUGUCGCAUUCAAUUUCGGCACUACAAGGGAGACUACACGUAUGCAUGGAUGGUGGCUGCAGGCACAAGAGGCAGCAACAUGUUUGAGUCAACCUUAUUUUGUUUUCCUUCCAUGAGUUAAGCAAUUAAUAUGCCCAUAUUUCAUAACAUACUAUUUGCCAAUCACAGAAAAACAGUGAUUACUUCUGUUGAAUGAAUGGUUCUCUGAUGCAAUAGUUAUUUGAUAGGAUGGAGAGGGCACUAAAAUUAAUUGCAGGGUUUACUUUUCUUAGAGAAUCUUUCAUAUCAUAAAGUUAAAAUAAUAGAGCAGCUGCAUGAAAAGGUUUACUUUCUCUUCUAAUUGUUUCUGGAUCUUUCAACAUAGUUGAAAAUAUAUUUUUGUUAGUUAUGUGAACUUGAAUAUCGCAAUUAUAAGAUCACUCAGAGACAUAUUUACAGUGCUUUGACAGAGUCUGUUAACAAAGUAUUUGAUCAGUUAGAAUAUUACUGAUCAUUUGGAAUGUUUUAGGAUUGUUUUGCGAGUAUUUGAUCUGACAUGUGGUUUAAAUAAGGAUUUUGUUUGCAUUGCGUUGGUGCUGAGGAUUCAUACCCCAAACGAGAUAAUGCAGGCCGAGCUGUACGUACAGUUGGGGCUCACAGAUAGGCAGCUGCAGAUGUGCUUCUGCCAUUGCCGGCUCAAGGACUGCAAAAAUCUGCUCACCAAGAUUUAUCAGCCGGCUGAAGGACUACAGAUAUGGCAAACAUAAAUGUAUGCUUUCUUCUGUGUUAAGCUGCAGAUCUUUUAUGCUGGCUGAUAAGCUUUGCUGAAGUGCAAGAUAUAGUAUUGUUUAUAUUGAAUACUCUUGCCGAGCAUAAUAUUUUAUUUUAUUUACUAUUGAGUUAGUAAUAUAUGCUAUUAUUUGAUAUU